This 141-nucleotide small nuclear RNA is filed under the name Saimiri boliviensis boliviensis (Bolivian squirrel monkey). RNAcentral describes it as "U4 spliceosomal RNA (ENSSBOG00000016020.1)". It matches the Rfam family "U4 spliceosomal RNA". From Rfam's summary of the family: U4 small nuclear RNA (U4 snRNA) is a component of the major U2-dependent spliceosome. The structure of U4 snRNA from yeast and human has been reported. The record is from Rfam by way of RNAcentral. Lineage: Eukaryota; Metazoa; Chordata; Mammalia; Primates; Cebidae.
AGCUUUGCGCAGUGGCAGUAUCAUAGCCGAUGAGGUUUGUCCAAGGCGCGAUUAUUGCUAAUUGAAAACUUUUCCCAAUACCUUGCCAUGACGACUUGAAAUAUAGUCAGCAUUGGCAAUUUUUGACAGUCUCUAAGGAAA